This 84-nucleotide transfer RNA is filed under the name Gongylonema pulchrum. It matches the Rfam family "tRNA". From Rfam's summary of the family: Transfer RNA (tRNA) molecules are approximately 80 nucleotides in length. The record is from Rfam by way of RNAcentral. Lineage: Eukaryota; Metazoa; Nematoda; Chromadorea; Rhabditida; Gongylonematidae.
UGAUCGGUAGUGUAAUGAGCAACACGUCACAAUUCGAAAAAGUAGAGAUAGCAGAGGUGGAGGGUUCGAUUCCCUCCCGGUCCA